GCUGGACACAGUAGUGCAUGCCUGUAAUCCUAGCAGCUUGGGAAGCUGAGGCAGGAGGAUCGCAAGUUCAAAGCCAGUUUCAGCAAGAGCAAGGAGCUAAGCAACUCAAUGAGACCCUGUCUCUA
This 125-nucleotide small RNA is filed under the name Marmota monax (woodchuck). Lineage: Eukaryota; Metazoa; Chordata; Mammalia; Rodentia; Sciuridae. The record is from RNAcentral.